UAGGGGAUAACACUUGGAAACAGGUGCUAAUACCGGAUAACAACCAAAACCACCUGGUUUUGGUUUAAAAUAUGGCUUCGGCUAUCACUUUAGGAUGGACCCGCGGCGUAUUAGCUUGUUGGUAAGGUAACGGCCUACCAAGGCAAUGAUACGUAGCCGACCUGAGAGGGUAAUCGGCCACAUUGGGACUGAGACACGGCCCAAACUCCUACGGGAGGCAGCAGUAGGGAAUCUUCCACAAUGGACGAAAGUCUGAUGGAGCAACGCCGCGUGAGUGAUGAAGGGUUUCGGCUUGUAAAACUCUGUUGUUGGAGAAGAACAGGUGUGAGAGUAACUGUUCACAUCUUGACGGUAUCCAACCAGAAAGCCACGGCUAACUACGUGCCAGCAGCCGCGGUAAUACGUAGGUGGCAAGCGUUGUCCGGAUUUAUUGGGCGUAAAGCGAGCGCAGGCGGUUUCUUAGGUCUGAUGUGAAAGCCUUCGGCUUAACCGGAGAAGUGCAUCAGAAACCAGGAGACUUGAGUGCAGAAGAGGACAGUGGAACUCCAUGUGUAGCGGUGAAAUGCGUAGAUAUAUGGAAGAACAC
RNAcentral lists this ribosomal RNA (586 nucleotides) under uncultured bacterium. RNAcentral's name for it is "bacterial SSU rRNA". It matches the Rfam family "Bacterial small subunit ribosomal RNA", at positions 137 to 709 of the family's 1533-position model. The record is from RNAcentral.